AUGAAGGUCUCACCAGAGCUGCCUCCGUGCACCCUGAGGGUUCCUCUGGUGUCCCUCCAUCCUCACCUGUGGUACUUCAGGGUGACCUGGGUGUGGUUGGAGAUCUGGAACUCCAGAGGCUCCCGGAUCUGCUCUUCUGCCAUCCUGGCACGGGAUCCACUCAGGGGUGGGAUCUUCUCAGCUUUGGGAUCUCCUCAGUUCUGGGAUCUCCUCAACUUUGGGAUCUCCUCAGCUCUGGGAUCAGCUUUGGGAUCAGCUUUGGGAUCUCCUCAACUUUGGGAUCUCCUCAGCUCCGGGAUCUCCUCCGCGAUUUCCUGGGAAUGUCCAGUUUCGUUUCGGCUCGAAAUCCGCCCAAAACCCGCCCCAAACCCGCCCAAAAUCCGGACCAAACCCGCCCAAAAUCCAGCCAAAAACCCGCCCAAAAUCCGGACCAAAUCCACCCAAAACCCGCCCAAAAACCCGCCCAAAACCCGCCCCAAAAUCCGGACUAAACCCACCCAAAAUCCAACCCAAAACCCGCCCCAAACCCGCCCAAAACCCGCCCAAAACCCGCCCAAAACCCGCCCCAAAACCUGCCCAAAAUCCAGCCCAAACCCACCCAAAACCCGCCCCAAAAUCCGGACCAAACCCGCCCAAAAUCCAGCCCAAAACCCGCCCAAAAUUCAGCUCAAACCCGCCCCAAAACCCGCCCCAAAACCCGCCCAAAAUCCGCCCAAAAUUCGCCCCAAAACCUGCCCAAAAUCCAGCCCAAACCCACCCAAAAUCCGCCCAAAACCCGCCCAAAAUCUGCCCAAACCCGCCCCAAAACCUGCCCAAAAUCCAGCCCAAACCCGCCCCAAACCCGCCCAAAAUCCAGCCCAAAUCCAGCCCAAAACCUGCCCAAAACCCACCCAAAACCCGCCCCAAAAACUGCCCCAAAAUCCGCCCAAAAUCCCGACCAAACCCGCCCAAAAUCCAGCCCAAAUCCGGACCAAAAUCCGCCCAAACCCGCCCCAAAACCCGCCCCAAAAUCCGGACCAAACCCGCCCCAAAAUCCAGCCCAAACCCACCCAAAAUCCAGCCCAAAACCUGCCCAAAACCCGCUCCAAAACCCGCCCCAAAAUCCAGCCCAAAACCUGCCCCAAAUCCGCCCCAAAACCCACCCAAAAAUCCGCCCCAAAACCCGCCCAAAAUCCGCCCCAAACCCGCCCAAAAUCCGCCCCAAAACCCGCCCCAAAACCCGCCCAAAAUCCCGACCAAACCCGCCCCAAAACCUGCCCAAAAUCCGCCCCAAAAUCCGCCCAAACCCGCCCCAAAACCCGCCCCAAAAUCCGGACCAAACCCGCCCCAAAAUCCAGCCCAAACCCACCCAAAAUCCAGCCCAAAACCUGCCCAAAACCCGCUCCAAAACCCGCCCCAAAAUCCAGCCCAAAACCUGCCCCAAAUCCGCCCCAAAACCCACCCAAAAAUCCGCCCCAAAACCCGCCCAAAAUCCGCCCCAAACCCGCCCAAAAUCCGCCCCAAAACCCGCCCCAAAAUCCGAACCAAAACCCACCCGAAACCCGCCCCAAAACCCGCCCCAAACCCGCCCAAAAAUCCAGCCCAAACCCACCCAAAAUCCAGCCCAAAAUCCAGCCCAAAACCUGCCCCAAAAUCCGGAACAAAACCCGCCCCAAAACCCGCCCCAAACCCGCCCCAAAAACCGCCCAAACCCGCCCCAAAACCCGCCCCAAACCCGCCCCAAAACCCGCCCCAAAUCCCGCCCCAAAACCCGCCCCAAAUCCCGCCCCAAAAUCCGGACCAAACCCGCCCCAAAACCCGCCCAAAA
This is a long non-coding RNA of Taeniopygia guttata (zebra finch), 1807 nucleotides long. NCBI's taxonomy places the organism in Eukaryota, Metazoa, Chordata, Aves, Passeriformes, Estrildidae. The record is from Ensembl.